RNAcentral lists this ribosomal RNA (279 nucleotides) under uncultured bacterium. Its description in RNAcentral is "partial 16S ribosomal RNA". It matches the Rfam family "Bacterial small subunit ribosomal RNA", at positions 506 to 784 of the family's 1533-position model. The record is from RNAcentral.
UGCCAGCAGCCGCGGUAAUACGAAGGGUGCUAGCGUUGUUCGGAAUUACUGGACGUAAAGAGCAUGUAGGCGGAUGAAUUAGUCAGAGGUGAAAGCCCCGAGCUCAACUUGGGAACUGCCUUUGAUACUGCAGAUCUAGAGUCCGAGAGAGGUGAGUGGAAUUCCUAGUGUAGAGGUGAAAUUCGUAGAUAUUAGGAAGAACACCAGUGGCGAAGGCGGCUCACUGGCUCGAUACUGACGCUGAGGUGCGAAAGCGUGGGGAGCAAACAGGAUUAGAUA